Molecule: unclassified non-coding RNA, 200 nt
Filed under: Ramichloridium sp.
Lineage: Eukaryota; Fungi; Ascomycota; Dothideomycetes; Mycosphaerellales; Dissoconiaceae
Description: partial internal transcribed spacer 2
Source: RNAcentral
UUAAGUUCAGCGGGUAUCCCUACCUGAUCCGAGGUCAACCUUGAAGUCGACGUCUCCGUCGACGCGUGCAGGCGCUCGCCCCCGACUCCCAAGCGGCGAUGGAUCAUCACGCAGAGGAACGGGCGGCUUCCGCCGAGGACUUUGAGGCGCGCGGCAGGCCGCGACGCCCAACACCCAGCCGGGCUGGAUUGGUUGUAAUG